Molecule: ribosomal RNA, 758 nt
Filed under: Harringtonia lauricola
Lineage: Eukaryota; Fungi; Ascomycota; Sordariomycetes; Ophiostomatales; Ophiostomataceae
Description: Raffaelea lauricola partial large subunit ribosomal RNA
Rfam family: Eukaryotic large subunit ribosomal RNA
Source: RNAcentral
UUGAAAUCUGGCCCCCCCGCGGGCCCGAGUUGUACUUUGGAGAGGACGCUUCUGGCGCGGCGCCGUCCGAGUUCCCUGGAACGGGACGCCGGAGAGGGUGAGAGCCCCGUACGGGCGGCCGCCUAGCCUCUGCGAAGCUCCUUCGACGAGUCGAGUAGUUUGGGAAUGCUGCUCAAAAUGGGAGGUAAAUUUCUUCUAAAGCUAAAUACCGGCCAGAGACCGAUAGCGCACAAGUAGAGUGAUCGAAAGAUGAAAAGCACUUUUGAAAAGAGGGUCAAACAGUACGUGAAAUUGUUGAAAGGGAAGCGCCUGUGGCCAGACUUGCGCCCCGCGGACCACCCGGCGCCUCGCGCGCCGGGGCACGCCAGCGGGGCGCAGGCCAGCAUCGGCUCUCUCGGGGGGACAAAGGCCGCGGGAACGUAGCGCCCUCGCGGCGUAUUAUAGCCCGCGGCGCCAUGCCCCCGGGGGGGCCGAGGACCGCGCUCCGGCAAGGAUGCUGGCGUAAUGGCCACCGGCGACCCGUCUUGAAACACGGACCAAGGAGUCAAGCAUUGGGGCGAGUGUCUGGGUGGCAAGCCCGCACGCGGAAUGAAAGUGAACGCAGGUGGGAGCUUCGGCGCACCACCGACCGAUCCUGAUGUCCUCGGAUGGAUUUGAGUAGGAGCCCCGCCGCUUGGACCCGAAAGAUGGUGAACUAUGCCUGUAUAGGGUGAAGCCAGAGGAAACUCUGGUGGAGGCCCGCAGCGGUUCUGACGUGC